AAUUACUGAGCGUGUGCACCUGCUGGAUAACUAUGUGAGCGCUCUUCAAAUCAACAAUCUGCGGUGGUGAGUACAGGUGAUGCCAUCAGACCCGCCCACUGUGUAGAUCUUCCCAUACAGGCCGCACACGGCCACGUUACCACGGUGAUUGGUCAUGGAGGCCAUGUUCUUCCACUCAUUCUCCAGGGGGUAGAACUGUUCCACUGGGCAGGAGGGGUCCUCCUGGGUCCAGCCGCCCACUGACAGGAGAUACAAGGAGAGAUGCAUUUGCCUGAACACUUAGCGCUUAAUGCCCUGGUCCUAUCUUCCAGCUCAGCUGCCUGACUACUGUAUGACGUGUGACUGUAAAGAAGAGGUACAGAGUGUGUCAUUCCUCCAUGUCAAGUGAACACAUCCAGUGAGGCCCCGCACUAAAAGUACAAAGAUAAUGCUGUUCAAUUUGCAGUGCUUACCCCAAAAAGUAUUGCAGACUGAAGUUCAGAAAUAUGUUGAUAGAUAUGAUGCAGUUUGUUCUUCCUUUACAUUUAUUGAAUUCAAUAUAUUUCCGCCAGCCCCCGUGAUCAUAUCCACCAAGUGUCAAACUGAAUCUAAAGAUGGCUAUGACUUUUACUCACAUCAACCAAUGCCAGACGCAAUCUGCAUACCCAUGGCAUUGCAAGAACAUAUCACAUUUUUUACAAUGCAUCAGAGGUUUAAAGAUGUUGUUGCACUGAUCAAGCUACCACAAUAAAUGCAUUUUAAUCGUAUGAAGAUUCUUGGUGCCUUGUUAUUUUUAAUGUCCAAUUAAACCUUA
Molecule: non-coding RNA, 793 nt
Organism: Oncorhynchus mykiss (rainbow trout)
Lineage: Eukaryota; Metazoa; Chordata; Actinopteri; Salmoniformes; Salmonidae
Source: RefSeq, a predicted model, not a curated record